UCCGUUGGGGACUUCUAGCAGUGGGGUCGAACGCCCUUAAAAACUACUUUACCCAGAAUGCAACAGUAACUCGUGUGGUUCGCCUGGGGAAGUCGUGCACGCGCGCUUUAACAUAAUUUACUCUCGUUUUUGAGUCUUUAAAAAAACUCGUCAUGCCUUUAAUUCACAACAUCGGCCAGCUUUGUGUCAAAAUGAGAAAUAAUAAUGUGCUCACAUGAUUUGUGUAAUCACCCAAGUGACGACGGCACUUUCGACAAAGUACAAAUCAAAAGUAAAAAAUGGUAAAAGGUUCAUAAUGUAAAAGUUUUUUUGUUAUUUGUCCAAGCGUGUAAGUCUAAGUACCUGCACAUUUAGAAUUUAUUUUAAUUAAUUAAUUAAUUAAUUAAUUUAUUUAAAAACAACCCCCCACUACCACCAGUCAUUACCAUUUAAAUAAAAAAAAAAAUAUGAGCGUAUGAGCUUGUCAAAUAAUAAUAGUUAAGUCUUAAUGGAUGGAUGGCUAUAUUUUACAGACAAAGAAAGAUACAACAUAUAAAAUAUACAUAGCUCACACGACCUUAUGAUUUCUAAAAAGUCCAUGUUAUCAGCACUGACAGAUUGUCUGAACGUUGGUCCAGCCCACAGAGCGUCUCCCACCCUCACAUCACCUAAACGCACCGCAGCAUCCCGGCGCCCCAUCAGUCAUGACAUCCAUUGUCACCAAGGCCAUAAUGGAGUCAUACGCGCUCAUGAUUUUAGUCAUGGGAACUUUUUUCUUGUACUUCUGCGGAAUGGUGUGGGCUUUUUCCAACCCGAAACUUAGCUGGCUGGAGGAGAGUCAAAGCGAGAACGCCGGGACACAGCAGCCGGCAUUGCCUGAUGUUGCGGACGUGCACACUCGCAGCACCUAUGUCCGCUUUGGGGACGACACCGAGAGCCUGCUGUUGGAAUCUGACGCCUUUUGUCCCGAGCGUUAUGGAUUUGACAACCUCACAUGUCAGCCAUCUUCAAGGAAGGAAGAGAAACAUUUGAUUCUUGACAUUUAGGUCCAACAAGGAGCUGCAGCAGCUGGUCAUAGAGCUCCUCCGACGUGUCCAAGUCGACAUCCAUCUGCAAAGAGGAUCCAAUGUGCUACAUUGUUUCAACUAUCCCAGAGAGGAUGCUCAUUCCAAAUGGAAACAUUUAUCAGGCAUACCUGCCGUGGUUGAGUGUAGCAAUGACCGAGGCCAGAUGUUAAACUGUGGUAUUUGGCCCGUGGGUCCAACAUUUCAGGUUUUCGAUUAAAAAGCCAAAUCUACAAAAGCAGAAGGACAUGUAUAAGCGUCCCGCAGCAUCUUUUUUUGCAACGUGCUUCUUCUUACCAAAGCUUCAGCUCCAUUGUAAGGUGUCAGGGUGAACGUAUUGAUAAACACUCUGAUCUGAUGACAAAGAGAAAAUGUAUUGGGGUGAAUGACAUCAGUAGAGUUUUUACGUCACUCACCAGCCAUAGGAGAGGCAAAAAUAGGGUCCAGAGGAAUGCUGGGAAGGAAGGCAGGAUGCCGUAGGUCAGGUUGGUCAUCACAAAACCGGGACAAAUCACAGAUGAGUAUAAGCCCUGGUGAGCACAAGUCAGCUAACCCAAAUAAGUAAAGGUAAAGCUCAACCUUAAAUGUCCUAAAAAAAAAAAAGUCUUUUGUUACAACUAACCUGUUUAUUGUAAUGAGUGUUAAUCGCCAGACUGAGACUGUCCGAAGCAUAUUUGGACGAGCUGUACGGUUCGCGGCCUUUGCGGUGCUGGACGUCUUCCAGGCUAAAAGCCGAGCGGCGAGCGUUACUGGAGGACGUCCAGAUGAGCUGAGAGGUCCGACCUGCUUGGCAAAGAAUCGGCUCCAGCUCCCUGAUCUGAAAAGAAACGCACCUCACUUUUGAUUCCUUUCGUACAUUUUUAAAUGAUCACAACACAAGGCUUCAAAAAUCAAAAGCGGUUGUGGGCUAGUAUUUAUUCGGCUGCUGUUGUCAGACUAUAAAGGUGCCCGUGACCUUCCAUCAGGGACAAUCAAGCUAUUCAUUUUUAAUGAGUAUUGUUGCUCAAGUAACCGACAUAUCCAGUGUAGCCUGCAUUCUGCUAAAGUGACCUCAAGAGUUGCUCCCUCUGCAAAGAAACCAAUGUCAACACGUCUUUCUACUCCAGCCUGACAGGGACGGACAAACUCACAAGCAGGAAGUGACCAAAGAGGUUGACGGCGAAUACUUCCUGCAAGCCAUCUGGAGUGAUGCCAUCCUUCUGGGUCAGGAUGCCCUCGCCAGUUGUCAACAUGGUGAUGACAUUGCUGCAAAAAAAUAAAAAUACAGUACUGGGAUUUAAACCUCAUAUUACAAAAGAGGCUAGGAUAUGCAGAGGGGUGUUAAAAAUGCGUUGUACCUGGAAAAGAGGCCUUCGAAGAAAGCCUUGAGGUCAAACUGUGGGUUCGGCAUGAUGCCCGCAUUUAGAUAGACAUAAUCCAGCCGGUUAAACCUGCAGGAGACAAAGUUUACUGUGGUUUGUAUAUCAGUCCCAUACAUUAUGUUCACUGAAAUGUGUAUAUAAUGUCAUAUUAUGAUGAUUGGCCACAUAUAAAAUAGUUAAAUAAGGAAUGUUGACUUUGCACUUGAGUGUUUUUAUCCAUCCACCUGAGUUGGAGCUCCCGUGCAGCAGUGAGAACCGAGCUGAUGCUGCUGGUGUCCAUUUGCAGCAGCGUCACCUGGGCCGCAGAGUGGGAAGCGAGCAGGGCAGAGCGGGCGGCUUCAGCCCGACGCAUGUUCCGACAGGCCAGACACAAGUGGAGUCCUUCUGCAUCCUGGCAGCUGAGGAGACGCUGACACAGAGCCAGGCCGAUGCCACUGCGGUGGGGAAAACCAAACAGUGGUGGGAAGUAAUGAAGUGCAAAUAUUUGGUGAGUGCACUAAAGUAGAUUUUUUUUGCACAAGCAUAAAUAUAAAACUGUGGGUCUGCUUUUGCCAAAUUAUUCAGUAUAUUUUAAACAUAUAUAAGCCAAGUAAUUGUCUUUCCUCUAAAUACCUACGUAGGGGAGGAAAAAGUCGUGUAUCGUCGGUUUGACCUUUUUUGGCCACCGUAGUUUUUCUAGCACACUGCAAUGCUAGUCCGGAUUGUUAUAAACAAAGUAAAACAAGAUGUAUUUAUCGCAUCGUGCAUUACAUAUAAUGUCUUUAAUACGAAUUAUAACAACUGCCUGACCACUCACGGCAUUCCACAGCAAACAAGCGCUUUUACCUGUUGGCUCCCGUCACCAAAACAACCUUAUUCAUCUUUUCUCUACCUCACUAAACGAAGCCAAGUAGCAUAUUUAGCACGACUACUUCUCUCAGUGAAGAAAACUACGUUUUUGAACUCACCAUGGAGUCAUACUUGACCCGCCCUCGCUGUCCUGUGAUUGGAUACAGCAGGCAUGGCAGCCAAUAGGAUCACGAAAGCGCACGGGAUGGAAUUCACUGUUUUAUUUUAUAAUCAAUGUACAACGUUCGUUAACAAGUACAGUACAUAAACAAUUUUUACUAUAAUACUGUACAAAAUCACUAAAUAUGUCUCCACUUCACCCCGUUUGAUCUCUUAUUGAACAUAUACAUCCCUGACCCCUUUCGGCACCCGUACCGCACCUUGCCACCGUUUCCAUGACAACGCGUACACUAUCCAACAACUCUACUUUCCACAUCUUGCACGAUCCAUCCACCCACUUUUGUUUCAAUCACUAAUCCAAGAAAAAAUAUGGAAAAAAGGAGCAUAUUCAUACACAAUUACACCAAUCACACAAACAGUCAAAUAUCUACACACAGUAUAUAAAUAUGAGUACAAAAUACUGGUUGUCUUUACACAGCACAAAAAGAAAGAGGUGACAUUUCCUUCUUAUUCGACGAGGAGACUGAGAUGAAACACUUGAAAUCUGGUGCACUCCCCCCCCCCCCUACAUUCAAGCAGUCUUCCAAACAAUAACACAAAAAAAAAUAA
Syngnathus typhle (broad-nosed pipefish) is the source of this 3961-nucleotide long non-coding RNA. RefSeq lists it as uncharacterized. The record is from RefSeq and is a predicted model, not a curated record. Lineage: Eukaryota; Metazoa; Chordata; Actinopteri; Syngnathiformes; Syngnathidae. The transcript has 2 exons.